CGGACGGGUGAGUAAUGUCUGGGAAACUGCCUGAUGGAGGGGGAUAACUACUGGAAACGGUAGCUAAUACCGCAUAACGUCGCAAGACCAAAGAGGGGGACCUUCGGGCCUCUGCCAUCGGAUGUGCCCAGAUGGGAUUAGCUAGUAGGUGGGGUAACGGCUCACCUAGGCGACGAUCCCUAGCUGGUCUGAGAGGAUGACCAGCCACACUGGAACUGAGACACGGUCCAGACUCCUACGGGAGGCAGCAUG
This 252-nucleotide ribosomal RNA is filed under the name uncultured bacterium. Its description in RNAcentral is "partial 16S ribosomal RNA". It matches the Rfam family "Bacterial small subunit ribosomal RNA", at positions 99 to 353 of the family's 1533-position model. The record is from RNAcentral.